RNAcentral lists this ribosomal RNA (326 nucleotides) under uncultured Bacteroidota bacterium. RNAcentral's name for it is "bacterial SSU rRNA". It matches the Rfam family "Bacterial small subunit ribosomal RNA", at positions 28 to 351 of the family's 1533-position model. The record is from RNAcentral. Lineage: Bacteria; Pseudomonadati; Bacteroidota.
GAUUAACGCUAGCGGCAGGCCUAAUACAUGCAAGUCGAGGGGUAACAGGCGUAGCAAUACGUGCUGACGACCGGCAGACGGGUGCGUAACACGUGUGUAACCUACCUUUAACUGGAGGAUAGCCCCGAGAAAUCGGGAUUAAUACUCCAUAACAUCAUGAUAUCGCAUGGUAACAUGAUUAAAGCUCCGGCGGUUAAAGAUGGACAUGCGCGAUAUUAGCUAGUUGGUGAGGUAACGGCUCACCAAGGCUUCGAUGUCUAGGGGUUCUGAGAGGACAUUCCCCCACACUGGUACUGAGACACGGACCAGACUCCUACGGGAGGCAG